RNAcentral lists this ribosomal RNA (424 nucleotides) under uncultured bacterium. Its description in RNAcentral is "bacterial SSU rRNA". It matches the Rfam family "Bacterial small subunit ribosomal RNA", at positions 358 to 773 of the family's 1533-position model. The record is from RNAcentral.
GGAAUUUUGGGCAAUGGGCGCAAGCCUGACCCAGCUACGCCGCGUGAGGGAUGAAGGCCUUCGGGUCGUAAACCUCUGUCGGGAGGGACGAACGGACUGCGGGUGAACAAUCCGCGGGAUUGACGGUACCUCCAAAGGACGCGCCGGCUAACUCCGUGCCAGCAGCCGCGGUAAUACGGAGGGCGCAAGCGUUGUUCGGAAUUACUGGGCGUAAAGCGCGUGUAGGCGGCCAGGCAAGGCGGGUGUGAAAUCCCGGGGCCCAACCCCGGAACUGCACUCGAAACUGCCUGGCUGGAGUCCCGGAGAGGAAGGCGGAAUUCCCGGUGUAGAGGUGAAAUUCGUAGAUAUCGGGAGGAACACCAGCGGCGAAGGCGGCCUUCUGGACGGUGACUGACGCUGAGACGCGAAAGCGUGGGGAGCAAAC